RNAcentral lists this long non-coding RNA (325 nucleotides) under Ananas comosus (pineapple). Its description in RNAcentral is "long non-coding RNA (ACOM_LNC037566)". Lineage: Eukaryota; Viridiplantae; Streptophyta; Magnoliopsida; Poales; Bromeliaceae. The record is from RNAcentral.
ACAACCAAAUAAUGAUAUGCAUUUUCAUACAGCUAACAAUCCUUAGAGAUGAUGCAUGCCUCUAAGCACUCCUUAGGUGCUGAAUGAUGCAAUGCACAGUACAACAAUCAUCCUAUUUAAAAGUGCUCCCCACACGGAAGCUUUUAUUUUUGAACUCUAAUUCAUUCAUCAUGAAAAACCAUUCGAAAAUCUUUUUAAAACUGUUUCCCACACGGAAACUCUAUUUUGAAAAUCAACUACCUCGAGGGGUAGAAAACCACGAUAUGUAAAUACAAGAAAAUCCGAUAUCCAUAGAAUCAACAUCCAAAUCCACAAACCUCAGUUN